AAGUUGUAAAAAAAAAAUCACAUUGGGUUGAAUUUAAAUGAUUGAUGCGUUGAAGAGAAUUAUUGAGAAAUUGUCUUAAUGUUUAGGUUCGUUCUUCGUAGACUUCAACGUGGUUAAGGAGCUUAACUAACUUGAAAGCAAAGGUAAUAAAGACGGCAAACCGGCGAGGGGCAGGAAGGAAGCGUGAUUGCCAUAGGGGUUAUUUUAAAUUGCUUUCGCUAAAUGUUUUGUUUCACGUGUUUUGUUUUAGUACUUGAGAUUGUUUAGAAGAUUUUAUAGUUGAACUGUAUUCACGAAUUAGUAAAUUUUUCUUGAAAGUGUUGGUUAUUUUAAAUAGGGCCCAGAUAUAAAUUUUUUGUUUUCUUGAGACUUUGAAA
Cucumis sativus (cucumber) is the source of this 377-nucleotide long non-coding RNA. RefSeq lists it as uncharacterized. The transcript is spliced from 2 exons. The record is from RefSeq and is a predicted model, not a curated record. Lineage: Eukaryota; Viridiplantae; Streptophyta; Magnoliopsida; Cucurbitales; Cucurbitaceae.